Molecule: ribosomal RNA, 597 nt
Filed under: uncultured bacterium
Lineage: Bacteria
Description: bacterial SSU rRNA
Rfam family: Bacterial small subunit ribosomal RNA
Source: RNAcentral
CUAAUACCGGAUACGACCUCUGAGGGCAUCCCCCGGAGGUGGAAAGGAUUCUGGCUAGGGAUGGGCCCGCGGCCUAUCAGCUUGUUGGUGGGGUAACGGCCUACCAAGGCGACGACGGGUAGCCGGCCUGAGAGGGCGACCGGCCACACUGGGACUGAGACACGGCCCAGACUCCUACGGGAGGCAGCAGUGGGGAAUAUUGCACAAUGGGCGAAAGCCUGAUGCAGCGACGCCGCGUGAGGGAUGACGGCCUUCGGGUUGUAAACCUCUUUCAGCACCGACGAAGCGAAAGUGACGGUACCAGCAGAAGAAGCACCGGCCAACUACGUGCCAGCAGCCGCGGUAAUACGUAGGGUGCAAGCGUUGUCCGGAAUUAUUGGGCGUAAAGAGCUCGUAGGCGGCUUGUCGCGUCGGCUGUGAAAACCUGGGGCUCAACCCCGGGCCUGCAGCCGAUACGGGCAAGCUAGAAUUCGGUAGGGGAGACUGGAAUUCCUGGUGUAGCGGUGAAAUGCGCAGAUAUCAGGAGGAACACCGGUGGCGAAGGCGGGUCUCUGGGCCGAUAUUGACGCUGAGGAGCGAAAGCGUGGGGAGCGAACA